RNAcentral lists this small RNA (871 nucleotides) under Pan troglodytes (chimpanzee). RNAcentral describes it as "retained intron". The record is from RNAcentral. Lineage: Eukaryota; Metazoa; Chordata; Mammalia; Primates; Hominidae.
GCGCCGCCGACGCCCGCCCUCCCGCAGAGCCCUCCGCCGACCUCUUGGUGAACCUGAGCCGCUGCCGACGCCUCAUCGUGGUGCUUUCGGACGCCUUCCUGAGCCGGGCCUGGUGCAGCCACAGCUUCCGGUGGGUCCCGCGCGAGGUUGGGUGGGCCCCAGCUUAGCACCCACCCCCCUGACGGUCCCGCCCCGCAGGGAGGGCCUGUGCCGGCUGCUGGAGCUCACCCGCAGACCCAUCUUCAUCACCUUCGAGAGCCAGAGGCGCGACCCCGCGCACCCGGCGCUCCGCCUGCUGCGCCAGCACCGCCACCUGGUGACCUUGCUGCUCUGGAGGCCCGGCUCCGUGACUCCUUCCUCCGAUUUUUGGAAAGAAGUGCAGCUGGCGCUGCCGCGGAAGGUGCGGUACAGGCCGGUGGAAGGAGACCCCCAGACGCAGCUGCAGGACGACAAGGACCCCAUGCUGAUUCUUCGAGGCCGAGUCCCGGAGGGCCGGGCCCUGGACUCAGAGGUGGACCCGGACCCUGAGGGCGACCUGGGUGUCCGGGGGCCUGUCUUUGGAGAGCCAUCAGCUCCACCGCACACCAGUGGGGUCUCGCUGGGAGAGAGCCGGAGCAGCGAAGUGGACGUCUCGGAUCUCGGCUCGCGAAACUACAGUGCCCGCACAGACUUCUACUGCCUGGUGUCCAAGGAUGAUAUGUAGCUCCCAUCCCAGAGUGCCGGAUCAUAGGGACAGUGGGGGCCAGGGCAGCGGCGUCGCUCCUCUGCUCAACAGGACCACAACCCCUGCCAGCAGCCCUGGGACCCUGCCAGCAGCCCUGGGAAAAGGCUGUGGCCUCAGGGCGCCUCCCAGUGCCAGAAAAUAAAGUCC